GAUGAACGCUGGCGGCGUGCCUAAUACAUGCAAGUCGAGCGAACGGACGAGAAGCUUGCUUUUCUGAUGUUAGCGGCGGACGGGUGAGUAACACGUGGAUAACCUACCUAUAAGACUGGGAUAACUUCGGGAAACCGGAGCUAAUACCGGAUAAUAUUUUGAACCGCAUGGUUCAAAAGUGAAAGACGGUCUUGCUGUCACUUAUAGAUGGAUCCGCGCUGCAUUAGCUAGUUGGUAAGGUAACGGCUUACCAAGGCAACGAUGCAUAGCCGACCUGAGAGGGUGAUCGGCCACACUGGAACUGAGACACGGUCCAGACUCCUACGGGAGGCAGCAGUAGGGAAUCGUCCGCAAUGGGCGAAAGCCUGACGGAGCAACGCCGCGUGAGUGAUGAAGGUCUUCGGAUCGGAAAACUCUGUUAUUAGGGAAAAACAUAUGUGUAAGUAACUGUGCACAUCGUGACGGUACCUAAUCAGAAAGCCACGGCUAACUACGUG
Molecule: ribosomal RNA, 497 nt
Filed under: uncultured bacterium
Lineage: Bacteria
Description: partial 16S ribosomal RNA
Rfam family: Bacterial small subunit ribosomal RNA
Source: RNAcentral